AAUCGAAAGUUGAUUUCGGGUGCGUUUUCCGACGAAAUCCGCCGACGGAACGUGAUUUCGGUUUGAAAUUCUUCCGACGGUGCCUCACGAUAAAUUGUUUAGUCGCUGAGCCUUAUUGGCUGGUCACCCGCAUCAUUUCGAGGGUACGGAAACGACGGGUGAGCAACGGUGAGUUCCGAUGUCGAAUUUGAGAUUUUCGGGAAUCUGGAUCGGAACGAUUGUCUGACGAUAAUCGUUUCGACCUGAGGAGGUGUGUUUGCUG
Molecule: long non-coding RNA, 262 nt
Filed under: Ananas comosus (pineapple)
Lineage: Eukaryota; Viridiplantae; Streptophyta; Magnoliopsida; Poales; Bromeliaceae
Description: long non-coding RNA (ACOM_LNC039979)
Source: RNAcentral